AAGAAUGGAGUGCUCGAACGAAAAUUUUAGCAGAGUUUUUGGGAUAGAAAAUAGAGCUUAGAGAAUAACGUAUCUGGGGUCUCCCUUUUAUAGACGGGGGGAGCAAAGGAUUGAUAGCGACUGUUUAUGAUCGCCUCGUCGUGGGCCGUACGGGGCCAGGAGGAAUUUAUCAUGAAGAGUAAUGGGGUGGAGUCGUGGCUGUCACCAUGGCUCGCCACGUGGAAUCGGUUGCGG
RNAcentral lists this long non-coding RNA (234 nucleotides) under Elaeis guineensis (African oil palm). RNAcentral describes it as "long non-coding RNA (EGUI_LNC050664)". The record is from RNAcentral. Lineage: Eukaryota; Viridiplantae; Streptophyta; Magnoliopsida; Arecales; Arecaceae.